RNAcentral lists this ribosomal RNA (497 nucleotides) under uncultured bacterium. RNAcentral describes it as "partial 16S ribosomal RNA". It matches the Rfam family "Bacterial small subunit ribosomal RNA", at positions 28 to 507 of the family's 1533-position model. The record is from RNAcentral.
GACGAACGCUGGCGGCGUGCCUAAUACAUGCGAGUUGAGCGCUGAAGGUUGGUACUUGUACCAACUGGACGAGCAGCGAACGGGUGAGUAACGCGUGGGGAAUCUGCCUUUGAGCGGGGGACAACAUUUGGAAACGAAUGCUAAUACCGCAUAAAAACUUUAAACACAAGUUUUAAGUUUGAAAGAUGCAAUUGCAUCACUCAAAGAUGAUCCCGCGUUGUAUUAGCUAGUUGGUGAGGUAAAGGCUCACCAAGGCGAUGAUACAUAGCCGACCUGAGAGGGUGAUCGGCCACAUUGGGACUGAGACACGGCCCAAACUCCUACGGGAGGCAGCAGUAGGGAAUCUUCGGCAAUGGACGAAAGUCUGACCGAGCAACGCCGCGUGAGUGAAGAAGGUUUUCGGAUCGUAAAACUCUGUUGGUAGAGAAGAACGUUGGUGAGAGUGGAAAGCUCAUCAAGUGACGGUAACUACCCAGAAAGGGACGGCUAACUACGUG